RNAcentral lists this long non-coding RNA (278 nucleotides) under Elaeis guineensis (African oil palm). RNAcentral describes it as "long non-coding RNA (EGUI_LNC048547)". Lineage: Eukaryota; Viridiplantae; Streptophyta; Magnoliopsida; Arecales; Arecaceae. The record is from RNAcentral.
CCUGAAACUUCUCUUCAAAUACUUAAAUAUUUUAUUAGUAUCAAUUAUAUACUCAAAUAUUUUACUAUUUAUCAAAAUCAAAUAUAGGAUCAAUAGAUCCCUUUCACAUUCUUCAUAAACUUAGACCUAAUGCUUAUUAUUUAGAGUUACCUUCUGAUUUAAAAUUUAAUCCAAUUUUCAAUGUUGCAGACUUGUUUCUUAUAAAUUUGGUUUGAAAUAAAUUUUAUUCGAAUCAACAGCCUCAAACUAUGUCUAUAAUUAUACCCUAUAACUAGGCC